AUUGAACGCUGGCGGCAGGCCUAACACAUGCAAGUCGAACGGUAACAGGAAGAAGCUUGCUUCUUUGCUGACGAGUGGCGGCCGGGUGAGUAAUGUCUGGGAAACUGCCUGAUGGAGGGGGAUAACUACUGGAAACGGUAGCUAAUACCGCAUAACGUCGCAAGACCAAAGAGGGGGACCUUCGGGCCUUUUGCCAUCGGAUGUGCCCAGAUGGGAUUAGCUAGUAGGUGGGGUAACGGCUCACCUAGGCGACGAUCCCUAGCUGGUCUGAGAGGAUGACCAGCCACACUGGAACUGAGACACGGUCCAGACUCCUACGGGAGGCAGCAGUGGGGAAUAUUGCACAAUGGGCGCAAGCCUGAUGCAGCCAUGCCGCGUGUAUGAAGAAGGCCUUCGGGUUGUAAAGUACUUUCAGCGGGGAGGAAGGGAGUAAAGUUAAUACCUUUGCUCAUUGACGUUACCCGCAGAAGAAGCACCGGCUAACUCCGUG
RNAcentral lists this ribosomal RNA (490 nucleotides) under uncultured bacterium. RNAcentral describes it as "partial 16S ribosomal RNA". It matches the Rfam family "Bacterial small subunit ribosomal RNA", at positions 30 to 507 of the family's 1533-position model. The record is from RNAcentral.